RNAcentral lists this ribosomal RNA (494 nucleotides) under uncultured bacterium. RNAcentral's name for it is "partial 16S ribosomal RNA". It matches the Rfam family "Bacterial small subunit ribosomal RNA", at positions 28 to 507 of the family's 1533-position model. The record is from RNAcentral.
GACGAACGCUGGCGGCGUGCUUAACACAUGCAAGUCGAACGGAAAGGCCUGCUUUCCCUUGUGGAUUGCGGGUACACGAGUGGCGAACGGGUGAGUGACACGUAACUGGUCUGCACCCAACUUGGGUCUAAGCCUGGGAAACUGGGUCUCAUUCCCGAUAGGACUGCAGGGUGGUGCCAGGGGUGGCAAACGAUUUUCUAGUGGGUGGGGAUGAGCUCGCGGCCUAUCAGCUUGAUGGGGGGGUAAUGGCCUACCAAGGCGGCGACGGGUAGCCUGACUGAGGGGGGGGACCGGGCCUGUGAGACUGAGCGGCCGCCCAGGCUCCGACGGGCGGCAGCAGUGGGGACGAGUGGCCGAAGGGCGGAAGCCUGAUGCAGGGACGCCGCGUGGGGGAUGACGGCCUUCGGGUUGUAAGCUCCUUUCGGCCGCGAGGAAGCCACCUGGUUGGAAGGGUGGUGACGGUAGUGGUAGAAGAAGCACCGGCUAACUACGUG